ACGAACGCUGGCGGCGUGCUUAACACAUGCAAGUCGAACGGAAAGGCCCUGCUUUUGUGGGGUGCUCGAGUGGCGAACGGGUGAGUAACACGUGAGUAACCUGCCCUUGACUUUGGGAUAACUUCAGGAAACUGGGGCUAAUACCGGAUAGGAGCUCCUGCUGCUUGGUGGGGGUUGGAAAGUUUCGGCGGUUGGGGAUGGACUCGCGGCUUAUCAGCUUGUUGGUGGGGUAGUGGCUUACCAAGGCUUUGACGGGUAGCCGGCCUGAGAGGGUGACCGGCAACAUUGGGACUGAGAUACGGCCCAGACUCCUACGGGAGGCAGCAGUGGGGAAUAUUGCACAAUGGGCGGAAGCCUGAUGCAGCAACGCCGCGUGCGGGAUGACGGCCUUCGGGUUGUAAACCGCUUUCGCAUGUGACGAAGCGUGAGUGAAGGUAAUGGGUAAAGAAGCACCGGAUAACUACGUG
Molecule: ribosomal RNA, 467 nt
Filed under: uncultured bacterium
Lineage: Bacteria
Description: partial 16S ribosomal RNA
Rfam family: Bacterial small subunit ribosomal RNA
Source: RNAcentral